This is a long non-coding RNA of Oryctolagus cuniculus (rabbit), 2806 nucleotides long. NCBI's taxonomy places the organism in Eukaryota, Metazoa, Chordata, Mammalia, Lagomorpha, Leporidae. The record is from Ensembl.
AUGGACACAUGGGCUUCGGGACUCCUACACGCAAGGCCCGCGCUUGCAGUCGGCUGUGUCUUCCCUCUCACAGGGGCUGUGGGAAGGAACCCAUCAGGACCUCGUCUGGGGCUGCCUUCCUGCGUGGCUCCUCCACAGCCCUCCCCGUGGCUGCUGACCUCACAGGGGGAGGGGGGAGUGUCCUGCUCCUGCGCCACGCCCCCCGCCAUGGGCCCCUGUCCCGUCGCGAGGUCCGGAGCAGCUCCGGCAGUGACCCAGGGUUCGGGUUCCAUCCGCCGUGCCAGCCGCCGGCUGUGUGGCCCACGAGCUGUCCACACUGCUUUCCGGAGACGCUGGUGCUCGGUGUAUCUGCGUGUUGGGUUCACCCCAUCAUUUACGCCUCCGCGGUGUCUCGACUGUUCCCCAGGCCCCCGGGGGUGCUCUCGGUGCAGGCGACAGCGGCCACAGCCGGCAGCAGGGGACACGGAGGCCGCUCCACGGCUGGAGCCGGGCUGCAGCUGCCUGCCCACGUCCUUGCCAAGUGAGGGUAAGAGCCCUCCUGAGAUGUGCAGGGGCCGCGGGGCGUCUGGAGCGGGCACUUGUGGACCACGGGCAGGGAGACUGCCUGGGCUGGCAGGCGGGGGCGUGCAGGAGGGUCUCUGCGGGCAGAGGCGGCCUGGGAACAGGUGUUUGUGGUGACAAUAGCAGUCGCCAUGACAACCGUCACCAGUGCUUCCUGCUGCAGAAUCAAGUUGUCUCCAGGGGAACUCUGAGGCUGGGAAGACUGUGAUUCCCUCUGGGAGGCAGGGAGGGGCUCAGGGGCCUGGGGGUACUGCUCCCUGCUUCUCGCGUGGGCCUGGAGCAGGGCUGUUUCUCAGGCAGAACCCCCCAAAGCUGCUGCCUGGCCCUGAGCAGGCUGGGAGGGCUGCCUGGUGCUGCCCAGUGAAGGCAAGGCCUUGAGAGGGGGCUGGGGGUGCAGGGCCCCCGUACACUGAGCGUGUGGUGCCAAGGACGGUGCCUCGCAGGAGAGGUGCUGGUAGGCAGUACGGGAAGACGAGGAGGGCAGCGCCGUGUCAGGGAGCCUGCUCGGCUCCAGUCCCAGCUCGCCUCUGCGGGUGCUGCGGGGGGCAGACGUGUGCCCGUGGGAGCCUCAGCCCUUCCCGUUGCUGGGCCACGGCUCCUGAGUGCGUGUGGGAUGCGGGCCGCGAGGGAGCAGGGGGGCUGGGGAGGAGAUGGCCAGUGCCACCUGAGACACAUCCAUCAGGCUGGCUGCAGGCGGGGUGGCCACGCUCAGAGCCAGGUCCCUGCCCUCCAUGCACACCCCAGGGUUCCGCUGCAGGGAUGGGAGGACACGGGGCAGUGAGGAGACAGGCGUCCAGGGAGGGGCUCCCGGGGAGGGGGUGACCCGGGCACCCUCAGUCUGGGGGAGGAUCUCUGAGCACCGCAGGGGGGCCAGAUCCGCAGCCCCACGGGGCUACUCGGUCGUUGGCGGUGAGCGGCAGCUUUUACACCCUCCUCCCACCUCCGUGUGUAUCCGGCGUUCACAUCCCCAGAGCACUGCUCCUGUCUUGGAAACACCCCUCUCCUUGCUGCCAGCUCCACGGGCACACUGUCCCUGCCUCGCCCGGCUUUCCAAGCCCCUGGAUCCUCCCUUUGCUUCCAGCGUUAGGGAGCCCCCUCCUGCAAAGUGUGAAACAGCAGCGAAGCUGGCAGGGCGCCAGGGCACCAGGCUGCGGGCGGCGAGCAGCCUGCUGGCCCCACUUGGGGGGCACCCGGGUCCCUGUCCACGGAUCUGCAGAGGGAGGGGUGCGCCCUGUCUGCCCAGGUUCCAGGUUCCUCUUCCGCACCAGGCUGCCCAGCUUCAUAAACCUCAGACUGAGCCCUAAGAGGUUAUAAGCUGCAGGUUUAAAAAUGUCAAAUCCAAUCCUGGAGGACACAGAGGUACAAGAUGAACAGCUCGCCAGCUGGGUUGGGCCGAGCCUGGCGCGCUGUUCAUGGUCUCUUUCCACAGCGCGUGGAGCCAGGGGCCAGCGCCGCUCCUCCACGUGGCACCCGGGGCUGCUGGGGCAGCUGCCUCCCUGCGGCCGUUCCUACCUUCAAGGGCAGGUCGGAGCCGCUCAGCUGCACACCGCCACCCCCAAGAUGAACCCCAAGCGGACACUUGAAUUGAUCUGAACAACCCUGCCGCCGAUGCCUCAGUUUUGGGGUGACCACACCGCCGCCCCGGAACGCGCUUCCGGUGGGUUUGAUUUCCCAUGGCUCCGAAGCAGAUUGGAGCGGGCUCUCCAUGGCCAGAAGCAGAUGCCGUGGAGAGAUCUGGGAGCAAACGGGGUAGAGCCUGCGAGGCCGACGCUGCGGGAGCCCCAGCUGAACUGAGACGUCCACCUCCCCCUGGUCCUGCGCACCUCAGGGCCUCGUGGUUGCAAACACGAGUUACCGAGGAGACGUGCGCGGCUCUUUUUGAACUCUGAAGACUUUGUGUGUUUGGUUUGGCUAAGGACACAAUCAAGUAGAAAUUUUGCAACAAAUAUGACGAUGCUUCCUUCCCCCUGGGCACGUGAGCUUCUGCCGUGCGUGUGCCGUGUUGGAAUUGCCGUCUGCCCGCUGCUCUGAGUCUCCCCGCGUUUUAGCCCACCCUGGGCAGUUUUCCCCGCCAUCAGCAAGGGCUCUCCGGUCUCACGUAAGCAGCAGCUCAGGACUUCCCUGAACCCCGCGCCUUUCCUUGCCAAGUGCUUCUUCCAGGGCGUUGCUGGCUGCGUCCAGAGGGGAACUGGGCGGCUCUUGUCUGUCACAGAAUAAACACAUGGUGCCUAGUAGGUGGGUGACA